GACGGAGGGUGCAACCGUUGUUCGGAAUUACUGGGCGUAAAGCGUGUGUAGGUGGCUGCGUAAGUCGGAUGUGAAAGCCCUGGGCUCAACUCAGGAAGUGCACUCGAUACUGCGUAGCUUGAGUACCGGAGAGGUUGGUGGAAUUCUCGGUGUAGAGGUGAAAUUCGUAGAUAUCGAGAGGAACACCUGUGGCGAAGGCGGCCAACUGGACGAGUACUGACACUGAGACACGAAAGCGUGGGGAGCAAACAGG
Molecule: ribosomal RNA, 253 nt
Filed under: uncultured bacterium
Lineage: Bacteria
Description: partial 16S ribosomal RNA
Rfam family: Bacterial small subunit ribosomal RNA
Source: RNAcentral